This 296-nucleotide ribosomal RNA is filed under the name Ctenophora environmental sample. Its description in RNAcentral is "partial Bacterial large subunit ribosomal RNA". It matches the Rfam family "Bacterial large subunit ribosomal RNA", at positions 2254 to 2549 of the family's 2925-position model. Lineage: Eukaryota; Metazoa; Ctenophora. The record is from RNAcentral.
GUGUUUGAUGGGUAGUUUGACUGGGGCGGUCGCCUCCUAAAAAGUAACGGAGGCGCGCAAUGGUUCACUUAGUCCGGAUGGAAAUCGGGCUGAAUGUGUAUUCGCAUAAGUGAGCUUGACUGUGAGGCUGACAGGCCGAGCAGGUAGGAAACUAGGUGAAAGUGAUCUGGUGUCUGCACGUGGGUGCGGCAUCACUCAACGGAUAAAAGUUACCCUGGGGAUAACAGGCUGAUCGCUCCCAAGAGCUCAUAUCGACGGAGCGGUUUGGCACCUCGAUGUCGGCUCGUCACAUCCUG